Molecule: ribosomal RNA, 452 nt
Filed under: uncultured Allobosea sp.
Lineage: Bacteria; Pseudomonadati; Pseudomonadota; Alphaproteobacteria; Hyphomicrobiales; Alloboseaceae
Description: uncultured Bosea sp. partial 16S ribosomal RNA
Source: RNAcentral
CACGAAGUUAGCCGGGGCUUAUUCUUCCGGUACAGUCAUUAUCUUCCCGGACAAAAGAGCUUUACAACCCUAAGGCCUUCAUCACUCACGCGGCAUGGCUGGAUCAGGCUUGCGCCCAUUGUCCAAUAUUCCCCACUGCUGCCUCCCGUAGGAGUUUGGGCCGUGUCUCAGUCCCAAUGUGGCUGAUCAUCCUCUCAGACCAGCUACUGAUCGUCGCCUUGGUGAGCCAUUACCUCACCAACUAGCUAAUCAGACGCGGGCCGAUCUUUCGGCGAUAAAUCUUUCCCCCGAAGGGCGUAUCCGGUAUUAGUCCAAGUUUCCCUGGAUUAUUCCGAACCGAAAGGCACGUUCCCACGCGUUACUCACCCGUCUGCCACUAGCACCGAAGUGCCCGUUCGACUUGCAUGUGUUAAGCCUGCCGCCAGCGUUCGCUCUGAGCCAGGAUCAAACUC